GGGGCCCGCACAAGCGGUGGAGCAUGUGGUUAAUUCGAUGAUACGCGAGGAACCUUACCUGGGCUCAAAUGUAUGUUGACGUAUUCUGAAAGGGAUACUUCUUCGGACAAUAUACAAGGUGCUGCAUAGUUGUCGUCAGCUCGUGUCGUGAGAUGUUGGGUUAAGUCCCGCAACGAGCGCAACCCUUGCCUUUAGUUGCCAGCAGUUCGGCUGGGCACUCUAAAGGGACUGCCGGUGUUAAACCGGAGGAAGGUGGGGAUGACGUCAAGUCCUCAUGGCCUUUAUGACCAGGGCUACACACGUACUACAAUGGCCGAUACAAAGGGCAGCGACACUGCGAGGUGAAGCCAAUCCCGUAAAAUCGGUCUCAGUCCGGAUUGGAGUCUGCAACUCGACUCCAUGAAGUUGGAAUCGCUAGUAAUCGUGGAUCAGCAUGCCACGGUGAAUACGUUCCCGGGCCUU
This 462-nucleotide ribosomal RNA is filed under the name uncultured Desulfobulbus sp. RNAcentral's name for it is "partial 16S ribosomal RNA". It matches the Rfam family "Bacterial small subunit ribosomal RNA", at positions 916 to 1382 of the family's 1533-position model. The record is from RNAcentral. Lineage: Bacteria; Pseudomonadati; Thermodesulfobacteriota; Desulfobulbia; Desulfobulbales; Desulfobulbaceae.